CCAAUCAAGAAGAAAAGGAAUUAUUUUCUUUUCUUUCUUUAAACUUCCAACUAAGAGGAAAGAAAUAUAUUUUCUUUCUUUUCUUUUCUCUCCUUACCAAUAUUUUUUUUCCUUUUCUUUUCUUCCCUAAACUCCAAAACAAGAUGGAAAAUUAUUUGGUACCUGACAAACUAAUACAACCAUCGGAAUUUGAUUGAACCAAAACCUUCAGC
RNAcentral lists this long non-coding RNA (212 nucleotides) under Elaeis guineensis (African oil palm). Its description in RNAcentral is "long non-coding RNA (EGUI_LNC068425)". The record is from RNAcentral. Lineage: Eukaryota; Viridiplantae; Streptophyta; Magnoliopsida; Arecales; Arecaceae.